This 771-nucleotide ribosomal RNA is filed under the name uncultured Psychrobacter sp. Its description in RNAcentral is "bacterial SSU rRNA". It matches the Rfam family "Bacterial small subunit ribosomal RNA", at positions 48 to 810 of the family's 1533-position model. Lineage: Bacteria; Pseudomonadati; Pseudomonadota; Gammaproteobacteria; Moraxellales; Moraxellaceae. The record is from RNAcentral.
UUAACACAUGCAAGUCGAGCGGAAACGAUGAUAGCUUGCUAUCAGGCGUCGAGCGGCGGACGGGUGAGUAAUACUUAGGAAUCUACCUAGUAGUGGGGGAUAGCUCGGGGAAACUCGAAUUAAUACCGCAUACGACCUACGGGAGAAAGGGGGCAGUUUACUGCUCUCGCUAUUAGAUGAGCCUAAGUCGGAUUAGCUAGAUGGUGGGGUAAAGGCCUACCAUGGCGACGAUCUGUAGCUGGUCUGAGAGGAUGAUCAGCCACACCGGGACUGAGACACGGCCCGGACUCCUACGGGAGGCAGCAGUGGGGAAUAUUGGACAAUGGGGGCAACCCUGAUCCAGCCAUGCCGCGUGUGUGAAGAAGGCCUUUUGGUUGUAAAGCACUUUAAGCAGUGAAGAAGACUCCAUGGUUAAUACCCAUGGACGAUGACAUUAGCUGCAGAAUAAGCACCGGCUAACUCUGUGCCAGCAGCCGCGGUAAUACAGAGGGUGCAAGCGUUAAUCGGAAUUACUGGGCGUAAAGCGAGCGUAGGUGGCUUGAUAAGUCAGAUGUGAAAUCCCCGGGCUUAACCUGGGAACUGCAUCUGAUACUGUUAGGCUAGAAUAGGUGAGAGGAAGGUAGAAUUCCAGGUGUAGCGGUGAAAUGCGUAGAGAUCUGGAGGAAUACCGAUGGCGAAGGCAGCCUUCUGGCAUCAUAUUGACACUGAGGUUCGAAAGCGUGGGUAGCAAAACAGGAUUAGAUACCCUGGUAGUCCACGCCGUAAAACGAU